GCUGGGCCUGGUGGCACGCGCCUAUAGUCCCAGCUACUCAGGAGGCUAAGGUAGGAGGAUCGCUUGAGCCCAGGAGUUCUGGGCUAUAGUGCGCUAUGCUGAUCGGGUGUCUGUACUAAGUUCGGCAUCAAUAUGUUGACCUCAUGGGAGUGGGGGAUCACCAGGUUGCUUAAGGAGGGGUGAACCGGCCUGGGUCGGAAACACAGGUCAAAACUCCUGUGCUGAUCAGUAGUGGGAUAGCACCUGUGAAUAGCCACUGCACUCCAGCCUGGGCAACAUAUCAAGACCCCAUCUUUU
This is an unclassified non-coding RNA of Callithrix jacchus (white-tufted-ear marmoset), 297 nucleotides long. It matches the Rfam family "Metazoan signal recognition particle RNA". From Rfam's summary of the family: The signal recognition particle (SRP) is a universally conserved ribonucleoprotein. It is involved in the co-translational targeting of proteins to membranes. The record is from Ensembl. Lineage: Eukaryota; Metazoa; Chordata; Mammalia; Primates; Cebidae.